UUCCAUGAUGAUAAAGGGUCCGUGACCCGAACUUUAAACCCAGCUCGUCGAAUGUCUUUUUGGCAUACUGAGAGUAACUUUAAAUCUGAAC
RNAcentral lists this small nucleolar RNA (91 nucleotides) under Podospora anserina S mat+. Lineage: Eukaryota; Fungi; Ascomycota; Sordariomycetes; Sordariales; Podosporaceae. The record is from RNAcentral.